GCAGUGGUGGUUCCGUGGUAAAAUUCUUGUCUUCCACAUGGGAGACCUGGGUUCAAUUCCCGGCCAACGCA
RNAcentral lists this transfer RNA (71 nucleotides) under Loxodonta africana (African savanna elephant). It matches the Rfam family "tRNA". From Rfam's summary of the family: Transfer RNA (tRNA) molecules are approximately 80 nucleotides in length. Their secondary structure includes four short double-helical elements and three loops (D, anti-codon, and T loops). Lineage: Eukaryota; Metazoa; Chordata; Mammalia; Proboscidea; Elephantidae. The record is from Rfam by way of RNAcentral.